CAAGAUAAUUAUGAUAUAACAAAAGCUUGUGUUAUUUAAGGUGGGGCUUUGGUAGUCUAAUUUAGUGGGUGUCUGUAGUAGAUCAUCAUCAUAACAGCUCCCAGUGAAUCAAUGCCUCCCUGCAUCCACACCCCUUUGUAACAUGAUAUUGUUGCUCUUCCCAUCAAGAAAUGGUCUCUUUUGGCCGGGCACAGUAGCUCACGUCAUCCCAGCACUUUGGGAGGCUGAGGCAGGCAGAUGGCUUGAGGUAAGGAGUUCGAGACCAGCCUGGCCAACAUGUGUAACAAUAUGUUGAAUUUGCCAUGGGCCUUUAAAGCUUCAAUGUUGUGAAGAGCUCUGCAUGAAAUUUUAAAGAGACUGGACCUUUCAUCUGCACAACAGCAGGGCACCUCGCUAUAGGGACAAGAAAGGAAGAGAGAGAGAGAACAUUUCUGAAGUAAUAGUGAAAAAUAACAGCAGAAGCAAUUAUUUCAUCAAAGAUUGCAGGGAGAGGCUCCUCCGUGCUCCUGAGAGGCCGAACACAGGGUCGCCAGCACAGCUUACUGCUCGGUGUCUCCUGAGCCACAGAGGAAGACGUGGCAGGAGCACCUGGUGCUAAUAUAUAUUCAUGUCUAUGGCAAUGCCGACCAUCUGGCUGGUCUGAACCAGGAUAAAAGUGAAGAAUUCCUCUGUGAAGACCCAGCUCUUUCUUUGGCUCCUUUUUUGAAGCCAUCUUUGCUCUGCUCUCCUCUGCUGCCCAGAAAGUUCCAGAGUGAAGCUCAGCUCUAGAUGAACAAAAACUGGUUGAGUCCAGAGAUGCCUGAGUUGGAGAUGAACCUUGCAAACUUUCCUCAUUACCAUACUAAAAACCCCACCCAGGAAGGAGCUUAUCUGCCAUUUCCUACACAUGUGACAUAUGGAGAAGCAUGAUCAGCUACUUCACAGUCUCUGCCUUUACUCUGCCUCCGCAUACAAUGGCUCAGCCAACUAGCCUAACGAAAGCUGUUUUCACCAUUGUUUGGGAGGUACUGCUUUGGGAAACUGCCCCAGCUGUCCUCCUUACUUGUUGUAGGUAAUAAAAUCCCUU
RNAcentral lists this long non-coding RNA (1066 nucleotides) under Homo sapiens (human). RNAcentral describes it as "HSALNT0386913". The record is from RNAcentral. Lineage: Eukaryota; Metazoa; Chordata; Mammalia; Primates; Hominidae.